RNAcentral lists this ribosomal RNA (830 nucleotides) under Streptomyces sp. Its description in RNAcentral is "bacterial SSU rRNA". It matches the Rfam family "Bacterial small subunit ribosomal RNA", at positions 45 to 892 of the family's 1533-position model. The record is from RNAcentral. Lineage: Bacteria; Bacillati; Actinomycetota; Actinomycetes; Kitasatosporales; Streptomycetaceae.
UGCUUACACCUGCAGUCGAACGAUGAAGCCUUUCGGGGUGGAUUAGUGGCGAACGGGUGAGUAACACGUGGGCAAUCUGCCCUUCACUCUGGGACAAGCCCUGGAAACGGGGUCUAAUACCGGAUAAUACUUCUGCCUGCAUGGGUGGGGGUUGAAAGCUCCGGCGGUGAAGGAUGAGCCCGCGGCCUAUCAGCUUGUUGGUGGGGUAAUGGCCUACCAAGGCGACGACGGGUAGCCGGCCUGAGAGGGCGACCGGCCACACUGGGACUGAGACACGGCCCAGACUCCUACGGGAGGCAGCAGUGGGGAAUAUUGCACAAUGGGCGAAAGCCUGAUGCAGCGACGCCGCGUGAGGGAUGACGGCCUUCGGGUUGUAAACCUCUUUCAGCAGGGAAGAAGCGCAAGUGACGGUACCUGCAGAAGAAGCGCCGGCUAACUACGUGCCAGCAGCCGCGGUAAUACGUAGGGCGCAAGCGUUGUCCGGAAUUAUUGGGCGUAAAGAGCUCGUAGGCGGCUUGUCACGUCGGAUGUGAAAGCCCGGGGCUUAACCCCGGGUCUGCAUUCGAUACGGGCUAGCUAGAGUGUGGUAGGGGAGAUCGGAAUUCCUGGUGUAGCGGUGAAAUGCGCAGAUAUCAGGAGGAACACCGGUGGCGAAGGCGGAUCUCUGGGCCAUUACUGACGCUGAGGAGCGAAAGCGUGGGGAGCGAACAGGAUUAGAUACCCUGGUAGUCCACGCCGUAAACGUUGGGAACUAGGUGUUGGCGACAUUCCACGUCGUCGGUGCCGCAGCUAACGCAUUAAGUUCCCCGCCUGGGGAGUACGGCCGCAAG